RNAcentral lists this ribosomal RNA (234 nucleotides) under Triticum aestivum (bread wheat). RNAcentral's name for it is "partial small subunit ribosomal RNA". Lineage: Eukaryota; Viridiplantae; Streptophyta; Magnoliopsida; Poales; Poaceae. The record is from RNAcentral.
AUGUCCUCCAUCACGAUCUCGAAUGAAACUAUCCAUGGAAUCGUGCGCCGUGUGAAACGUAAAUCAUCGCCGUUCUUAACCGAGACUCAGGUUAAGCUCCGUCUCGGAACCGCCGUGGGGUUAGGAGUAAAGCAUCCCGAGGUUCGCGCAUCUCGUUGGGCGUGGAGAAGCAUUGGGAACCCCAAUAUCUUUCUUUGGAGCAGUUUCUUUUCCCGUCCCCUCGCCCCGGCAUAG